Molecule: ribosomal RNA, 448 nt
Filed under: uncultured bacterium
Lineage: Bacteria
Description: bacterial SSU rRNA
Rfam family: Bacterial small subunit ribosomal RNA
Source: RNAcentral
UACCAUGCAGUCGACGGAAGGGCCCUGCUUUUGUGGGGUGCUCGAGUGGCGAACGGGUGAGUAACACGUGAGUAACCUGCCCCUGACUUUGGGAUAACUUCAGGAAACUGGGGCUAAUACCGGAUAGGAGCUCCUGCUGCAUGGUGGGGGUUGGAAAGUUUCGGCGGUUGGGGAUGGACUCGCGGCUUAUCAGCUUGUUGGUGGGGUAGUGGCUUACCAAGGCUUUGACGGGUAGCCGGCCUGAGAGGGUGACCGGCCACAUUGGGACUGAGAUACGGCCCACACUCCUACGGGAGGCAGCAGUGGGGAAUAUUGCACAAUGGGCGGAAGCCUGAUGCAGCAACGCCGCGUGCGGGAUGACGGCCUUCGGGUUGUAAACCGCUUUCGCCUGUGACGAAGCGUGAGUGACGGUUAUGGGUAAAGAAGCACCGGCAAACUACGUGCCAGC